This 372-nucleotide ribosomal RNA is filed under the name uncultured organism. RNAcentral's name for it is "bacterial SSU rRNA". It matches the Rfam family "Bacterial small subunit ribosomal RNA", at positions 526 to 896 of the family's 1533-position model. The record is from RNAcentral.
CGUAGGGUGCGAGCGUUAAUCGGAAUUACUGGGCGUAAAGCGUGCGCAGGCGGUUUUGUAAGCCAGAUGUGAAAUCCCCGGGCUCAACCUGGGAAUGGCAUUUGGGACUGCAAGGCUUGAGUGCGGCAGAGGAGACUGGAAUUCCUGGUGUAGCAGUGAAAUGCGUAGAUAUCAGGAGGAAUACCGAUGGCGAAGGCAGGUCUCUGGGCUGACACUGACGCUCAUGCACGAAAGCGUGGGGAGCAAACAGGAUUAGAUACCCUGGUAGUCCACGCCCUAAACGAUGUCGACUGGUUGUUGGGGGUUUGACACUCUCAGUAACGAAGCUAACGCGUGAAGUCGACCGCCUGGGGGAGUACGGCCGCAAGGUUA